RNAcentral lists this ribosomal RNA (564 nucleotides) under Xerocomellus rainisiae. Its description in RNAcentral is "eukaryotic LSU rRNA". It matches the Rfam family "Eukaryotic large subunit ribosomal RNA", at positions 93 to 651 of the family's 3401-position model. The record is from RNAcentral. Lineage: Eukaryota; Fungi; Basidiomycota; Agaricomycetes; Boletales; Boletaceae.
GUGAAGAGGGAUGAGCUCAAAUUUUGAAUCUGGCGGUCUUUCGGCCGUCCGAGUUGUAAUCUAGAGAAGCGUUUUCCGCGCUGGCCCGUGUACAAGUCUCCUGGAAAGGAGCRUCCUAGAGGGUGAGAAUCCCGUCUCUGACACGGACCACCAGUGCUAUGUGAUGCGCUCUCGACGAGUCGAGUUGUUUGGGAAUGCAGCUCAAAACGGGUGGUAAAUUCCAUCUAAAGCUAAAUAUAGGCGAGAGACCGAUAGCGAACAAGUACCGUGAGGGAAAGAUGAAAAGAACUUUGGAAAGAGAGUUAAACCGUACGUGAAAUUGCUGAAAGGGAAACGCUUGAUGUCAGUCGCGUCGCCCGGGGAUCAACCUUGCUUCAUCGCUCGGUGCACUUCCUGGUCGACGGGUCAGCAUCGGUUUCGGUCGCCGUACAAGGGCGAGGGGAACGUGGCACUCUUCGGAGUGUGUUAUAGCCCUUCGUCGCAUGCGGUGGUCGGGACCGAGGAACUCAGCACGGCCUUACCGUCGGUGCUUAGGAUGCUGGCAUAAUGGCCUUAAGCGACCCG